This 89-nucleotide transfer RNA is filed under the name Acidobacteriota bacterium. RNAcentral's name for it is "tRNA-Ser". It matches the Rfam family "tRNA". Rfam says of the family: Transfer RNA (tRNA) molecules are approximately 80 nucleotides in length. Their secondary structure includes four short double-helical elements and three loops (D, anti-codon, and T loops). Lineage: Bacteria; Pseudomonadati; Acidobacteriota. The record is from RNAcentral. RNAcentral also lists the same sequence under 6 other names.
GGAGAGGUACCGAAGUGGUCGUAACGGGGGCGCCUCGAAAGCGUCUUGUCCGAAAGGGCACGUGGGUUCGAAUCCCACCCUCUCCGCCA